UACGGAGGAUUCGAGCGUUAUCCGGAUUUAUUGGGCUUAAAGGGUGCGUAGGCGGACUUGUAAGUCAGCUGUGAAAGCUCACGGCUCAACCGUGGAAUUGCAGUUGAUACUGUUAGUCUUGAGUACUUAUGAGGUGGGCGGAAUUUGUGGUGUAGCGGUGAAAUGCUUAGAUAUCACAAAGAACUCCAAUUGCGAAGGCAGCUCACUGGGGUAUAACUGACGCUGAUGCACGAAAGUGUGGGGAUCAAACAGG
This 253-nucleotide ribosomal RNA is filed under the name uncultured bacterium. RNAcentral describes it as "partial 16S ribosomal RNA". It matches the Rfam family "Bacterial small subunit ribosomal RNA", at positions 524 to 776 of the family's 1533-position model. The record is from RNAcentral.